This 253-nucleotide ribosomal RNA is filed under the name uncultured bacterium. Its description in RNAcentral is "partial 16S ribosomal RNA". It matches the Rfam family "Bacterial small subunit ribosomal RNA", at positions 524 to 776 of the family's 1533-position model. The record is from RNAcentral.
UACGAAGGGAGCUAGCGUUACUCGGAAUUAUUGGGCGUAAAGCGUGCGUAGGCGGCUAAGAAAGUUGGAAGUGAAAGCCCAGGGCUCAACCUUGGAAUUGCUUUCAAAACUACUUAGCUUGAGUGUCAGAGGGGAUAGUGGAAUUCCUAGUGUAGAGGUGAAAUUCGUAGAUAUUAGGAGGAACACCGGUGGCGAAAGCGACUAUCUGGCUGACAACUGACGCUGUUGCACGAAAGCGUGGGGAGCAAACAGG